RNAcentral lists this ribosomal RNA (400 nucleotides) under phytoplankton environmental sample. RNAcentral describes it as "partial small subunit ribosomal RNA". It matches the Rfam family "Eukaryotic small subunit ribosomal RNA", at positions 587 to 985 of the family's 1831-position model. The record is from RNAcentral.
AGCUCCAAUAGCGUAUAUCAAAGUUGUUGCAGUUAAAAAGCUCGUAGUUGGAUCUCGGGAGCAGGCGUGCGGUCCGCCUCGCGGUGGUUUUACUGCGCGUUCCUGCCCUACUACUGCCGGACGUCCCUCGGUGCCCUUCGCUGGGUGCCGUGGGUGGCCGGAACGUUUACUUUGAAAAAAUUAGAGUGUUCAAAGCAGGCAUUUCGCCCUGAAUAAUGGUGCAUGGAAUAAUGGAAUAGGACCUCGGUUCUAUUUUGUUGGUUUCCGGAGCUCGAGGUAAUGAUUAAGAGGGACGGCCGGGGGCAUUUGUAUUGCGGCGUUAGAGGUGAAAUUCUUGGAUCGUCGCAAGACAAACCACAGCGAAAGCAUUUGCCAAGAAUGUUUUCAUUAAUCAAGAACG